UGGGAAAUUUUGGACAAUGGGGGAAACCCUGAUCCAGCCAUCCCGCGUGUGCGAUGAAGGCCUUCGGGUUGUAAAGCACUUUUGGCAGGAAAGAAACGUCAUGGGUUAAUACCCCGUGAAACUGACGGUACCUGCAGAAUAAGCACCGGCUAACUACGUGCCAGCAGCCGCGGUAAUACGUAGGGUGCAAGCGUUAAUCGGAAUUACUGGGCGUAAAGCGUGCGCAGGCGGUUCGGAAAGAAAGAUGUUAAAUCCCAUAGCUCAACUUUGGAACUGCAUUUUGAACAACCGUGCUAGAGUGUGUCAGAGGGAGGUGGAAUUCAGAGUGUAGCAGUGAAAUGCGUAGAUAUGCGGAGGAACACCGAUGGCGAAGUCAGCCUCCUGGGAUAACACUGACGCUCAUGCACGAAAGCGUGGGGAGCAAACAGG
RNAcentral lists this ribosomal RNA (429 nucleotides) under Acidobacteriota bacterium. RNAcentral's name for it is "Acidobacteria bacterium partial 16S ribosomal RNA". It matches the Rfam family "Bacterial small subunit ribosomal RNA", at positions 355 to 776 of the family's 1533-position model. The record is from RNAcentral. Lineage: Bacteria; Pseudomonadati; Acidobacteriota.